This is a long non-coding RNA of Peromyscus californicus insignis, 8387 nucleotides long. RefSeq lists it as uncharacterized. The record is from RefSeq and is a predicted model, not a curated record. The transcript is spliced from 8 exons. Lineage: Eukaryota; Metazoa; Chordata; Mammalia; Rodentia; Cricetidae.
CAGGAGACAAAAAUCACAUACACUGCUACUGCUAAGACAUGCAGGAAACUAUCUUGAGAGACCCACAUCACACUUGGGUGUGCGAUAACCUUUUCCUGCACGCCUAUUAACUCCUGGGCUUAAAUCUGUUUAAAAUCUUAUUCUUCAACCCUGCUCCACUCUACUGUUCCAGAUAUUCUGAUAUUCAGUGAGGCCAGGAACGUUUUUAUAAGAUUCAUUUUAUGUGUAUGGAUGUUUUUGCUGCAUGUGUACCUCGUGUGAGCCUGUUGUCCACAGAUGCGGGAGAUGAUGUUGAAUCCCCUUGGUGGAGCCACGCCCCUCGUCGGGGGGCGGGACAUGCAAAUCAGAUGCGGCCGGCGCGCGCGGGAAUGCCGGGAGCGCGGGGGUCGUGGAGUUCGGGGCUGACGCUGUGGGAGGCUCUUCAUGUUCCCAAACAAGAAUUUCCCUCUCUCCAAUGCAAAGCCCAGAAAGCCUGGAUGUGAUAUACAGCACUGGUUUCUGGUUGAUUCCUAUCAAAAACAAAAACAAACAAACAAACCAACAAAAUAAUGUGAUCGUGCACAUCUGCAAUUCCUCUGCUCUCCUCCAGGGAUGAGUUCAUUGGUGGCACUCUCAUGAGUCUUGUAGCCUGUCCUGCAUGUCUUUUCUGUGAACUCAGAGAACAGCUCCUCCUCCCCAGCAAUCCAACCAAAAGGUCUGGGCCUGACCCUUGUUGGCCAACAACAGACCUGAUGGACUGUGCAGAUGGAAGGAACUAGGCUUCAGAACACAUGCCAGUCUCAUGCACAUCCCCUCAAGUGAAGAGGAACUGGGAGUCAGGAAGAAUGGAGACAUUGAACUAAGAGCAGGAGAGGGAUGGUUUCCUAAGGAAAAUCAGCUAUAAGAACAGAGACAUGGCCCUGGGAAGGCAAAAGGCAGCCCAGAUCUUCUAUGCUCUUUCUCCUGUCACAGGGAAAUGGACUCCCACAGCUCCUUGUGCACUACUAGUGACUGUGCUUGUGUGUGUGUGUGUGUCUGUGUCUGUGUGUGUGUGUGUGUGUGCCCAUGGAGAUGCUACCAUCUGACAGAAAGAUCUAACCCCACAAGGAACUGCCACUCUGUGAUCCUACUGGGCCCUGUAGGAAUUCUACCAGAUAUGCAUUGAACAGUGUUGUUUAAACAAAAAUUAUAGAAAGCCUACAAUCGCAUGGAAACUGAAUAGUGCCCACCUGAAACACCAAUGGGUCAAGGAAAAAAUAAAGAAAGAAAUUAAAGAUUUCCUAGAAUUCAAUGAAAAUGAAAGUACAACAUACCAAAACUUAUGGGACACUGUGAAAAGCAGUGCUGAGAGGAAAAUUCAUAGCUCUAAAUGCACACAUAAAGAAGAUGGAGAAACUCAUACCAAUGACUUAACAGCACACCUGAAAGCUCUAGAAUAAAAGGAAACAAACUCACCCAGGAGAAAUUGAUGCCAGGAAGUAAUCAAAUUGAGAGCUGAAAUCAACGAAAUAGAAUUAACCAAAAGGCCAAGAGAGAGCACCCAAAUUAACAAAAUCAGAAAUGAAAAGGGAGACAUAACAACAGACAAGGAGGAAUUCCAGAGAAUCCUCAGGUCAUACUUCAAAAACCUAUACUCCACAAAAUUGCAAAAUCUGGAAGAAAUGGACAAUUUUCUGGAUAGAUACCACACACCAAAAUUAAACCAAGACCAGAUAAACUAUUUAAAUAGACAUAUAACCCCUAAAGAAAUAGAAACAGUCAUGAAAAGUCUCCCCCCCGCCAAAAAAAAAGCCCAGGAUCGUUGAUUUGGCAAACCGAAUCCAAGAACACAUCAAAAAAAAAAAAAUUAUUCACCAUGACCAAGUAGGUUUCAUCCCAUGGAUGCAAGGAUGGUUCAACUUAUGAAAAUCUGUCAAUGUAAUACACCAUAUAAACAAUCUGAAAGAAAAAAACCACAUGACCAUCUCAUUAGAUGCUGAAAAAAGCCUUUGACAAAAUCCAACACCCCUUCAUGAGAAAGGUCUUAGAGAGAUCAGGAAUACAAGGAACAUUCCUAAACAUAUUAAAGGCAAUUUACAGCAAGCCAACAGCCACCAUGAAAUUAAACGGAGAGAAACUCAGGGCGAUUCCACUAAGAUCAGGAACAACACAAGGCUGUCCACUCUCCCCAUAUUUAUUCAAUACAGUACUUGAAGUUUUAGCUAGAGCAAUAAGACAACAAAAGGAGAUCAAAGGGAUACAAAUCGGAAAGGAAGAAAUCAAACUUUCACUGUUUGCAGAUGAUAUGGUAGUAUACAUAAGUGACCCCAAAAAUUCUACCAGGGAACUCCUACAGCUGAUAAACUCCUUCAGUAAAGUGGCAGGAUACAAGAUCAACUCAAAAAAAUCAGUAGCCCUCCUAUACACAAAUGAUAAAAGGGCUGAGAAAGAAGUCAGAGAAACAUCACCCUUUAUAAUAUCCACAAAUGAUAUAAAAUACCUUGGGGUAACACUAACUAAACAAGUGAAGGACCUUUUUGAUAAGAACUUUAAAUCUCUAAAGAAAGAAAUUGAAGAAGAUAUCAUGGAAGGAUCUCCCAUGCUCAUGAACAGGUAGGAUUAACAUAGUAAAAAUGGCAAUCUUACCAAAAGCAAUCUACAGAGUCAAUGCAAUCCCCAUCAAAAUCCCAACACAAUUCUUCACAGACUUGGAAAGAAAAAUACUCAACUUCAUAUGGAAAAACAAAAGACCCAGGAUAGCUAAAAGAAUCCUGUAUGAUAAAGCAACCUCCGGAAGCAUCACCAUCCCUGACCUCAAGCUCUACUCUAGAACUAUAGUAAUAAAAACAGCUUGGUGCUGGUCUAAAAACCGACAUACGGACCAAUGGAAUCCAACUGAAGACCCUGACAUCAAUCCACACACAUAGGAACAUCUGAUUUUUGACAAAGAAGCCAAAACUAUACAAUGGAAAAAAAGAAAGUAUCUUCAACAAACGGUGCUGGCAUAACUGGAUGUCAAUAUGUAAAAGAUUACAAAUAGAUCCAUAUCUGUCACCAUGCACAAAACUCAAGUCCAAGUGCAUCAAAGACCUCAACAUAAAUCCAGUCACACUGAAUUUCCACAACACUGUGGACACACUUAACAGAAAAUCAAUCGCUGGGACCCCAGCCCCUCUACUCCGCUCACGGGACUCAGAGCCAGCCCCUCAACAGAAGAUCUUGGUCCGUCAGCCGACCGCCAACUAGGAAAAGUAGGUCCGUCCUUCGGCCAGCGUCCUCAGGUGCAUCUUGGAUGCGAGCCGGCCCGUGCAGCACCGGGAGGCUGUGGGGAGGAGGGGCCCCAGGGAGCUCACUUUCAGGUCGCCACGCCCCUCGUCAGGGGGCGGGGCAUGCAAAUCAGACGCGGCCGGCGCGCGCGGGAAUGCCGGGAGCGCGGGGGUCGUGGAGUUUGUGGCUGACGCUGUGGGAGAUCAGCAUGUAGUUCUCAGCCACUCCUCCAGCACCUGCCUGCAUACCACCAUGCUCCGUGUCAUGAUGAUAAUGAACUAAAGCCCUGGAAACGACUGUGAGACAUGUCUGCUCCUGGCUACACCGAUCCACUUCAGAGAAGAUAUGAGCAUUGAGGAACUUCCACAUGGAGUUACUUUCACUGUGGCAAGAGUUAGCCACUGGGCAAGAAAGUGCCCUUGCAUUGACUGAUGACAUUAUGCUGUCCAAAAUGGACAAGCAGGACACAAAACAAAGGAUCAAUCCUUGCCAAGACAAGUGUGGUUAUAGCUUUAGCAACAGGCGUCCUCUGAGGCCAGGACAAUAUGGCACCAUCCCUGAAGUGGCCUUUGCAAUCCGGAAAAGGUACCAUGCCCCUUUCUUCUGAGGCAGCUGAACAGGCAGUGGGCCGAUGGCUUCUGAUGUGCAGUGGAACAGUAGCUGAAACAGUUAUUCUUGAGGAGUAACUAGGCUGACAGGAGUCUAACCUCUCAAUGGUAGACUGGCACUUAAUAAAGGAGAAGAAGCCACCCACAAGCUAAGAAUAAUGGGAUGCUGAGAUGAAGCCACCCACAAGCCGAGAAGAAUGGGAAGCCAAAUUCCAAAAAUACCAGCAGUUUCCAGAAUUUAAAAUCCUGAAUCAUGACAUGACAUACUUGCACUGAAUGUGAGGUUGAGCUGAAGGCCUUGUGUACAUCCUACUUCACAAGUGAGUCUGUCAGAUACGCUAAGCAUGUAGGCCAAAGAUGAUGCCCCAACACUGCGGAGAAACCUCAGGGUGUGUGCACGUAUGUGCUGAUGUCUGCAGAGCCCCGUGAGUUGGAAGUACUGGCGAUUGUGAGCCAUCUGAUGUGGAGUGCUGGGACUCGAACUUGUCCUCUGCAAGAGCAGUUCCAACUCUUAUCCACUGAGCAUCUCUCCAGACGUUCCUUGCAGAUUUCUGUUUGUUUGUAUGUUUGUUCUUCCGAGACAAUGUUUCUCUGUGUAGCUCUGGCUGUUGUGGAACUCGUUUUUGUAGACCAGGCUGGCCUCAAACUCACAGAGAUCCCUCUACCUUUACCUCCUGAGCGCUGAUAUUAAAGGCGGUGUGCCGCCACCACCCUGCUCCUUGCAGAUUUUUUUUUUUUUUUUGAUUCCUCAGCUGAGACAGCGACAAAGAUGGUUUAUUGUACACGAGUUACACCCGGCCACAGUGGGAACAGAACGAGUCCGCAAUGCACGGGUCCGGGGCAGAGGGCGGCGGGGUCUCAGGGGGUCGGGGCGAGCCGCCGGUGGCGAUGUUCCAGGUCUAUCCGACUCCCGCGAGGGUAGCACACAGCCCGGCGACCUGCAACGCCCCGGCCUCCGGCAUGCCUUGCUUCCGGCCCCUCCGUGCACAAGCCCCGUUCACUUGGACCUCUGCCUCAUCUUUCUCCUCUUGCGCUUCAGCCUGCGCAUCCGCUUCUUCCUCCACUUCGCUCUCAUGGCGCAGGGGUCCCCAGGAAGAUGGCGCUAAGGCCGAGAGCCUCCUUGCAGAUUUUUAAGAAAAAUCCCUAGCUAUGUAGACCAUGCUAGCUUUAAUGUCUCCCAAGUGCUGGAAUUACAGGCAGAUGCCAACUGUCUGUUUUCUUUUUUCUAUAUUUUAAAAACGUGUGUGCGUUUGUGUGUGUGUGUGUGUGUGUGUGUGUGUGUGUGUGUAGUGCAUGCCAUAGUGAACAUGUGGAGAUCAAAAGACUAGUGGCAGGAGACCGCUGUCUCCUUCCACCAGGCAGGUAGGUCAGGAAUUUAAGUCACCCUGCUUAGCAGCAAGUACCCUUAUCGCUGCACUCUUACUGUCCCCAUCCCUGCCCUCAAGACAUCUAAAGGGACCAAGCAAUCACUUUACAAAGGGAACCAUGACCUUGCAGAGCCCAGGCUGUUUGUUACCAGCGCUGAUAUUGGGGAGUUGGCUCGGAAUAAACCAUUUGGGCAUCUUGGAAUUGUCUUCCUCCCUCCCACCCCCAACCUUGACACAACUGACUGACAGACUCCAACCUAAAAGUUCUUCAGUGAAAGGAGGGAAAAGGUCAAUGCUGUCUCUGUCACAGAAACGUGUUGCCUGCCACCUUUCAGCCUUGACCUCAAAACAUUUCCCAGAACAUCCCCCCACUAUCUGCUCCUUUUGCAGUCUUUGAGGACGGUGGUAUCAUUGGGAGCUCUGGAUGCCCGCCCUUGUUGAGUGCACAGCAUACAGGAGGAGCUCCGGCAAACCUUUGUGGGGUGCACAACGUUUGUGUUGAUGAGCACAGGCCCAGAGAGUAAGAAGCAUCUGGGAGGGCCUGGACUGAUUCAGGGAGCAAGAAGUAAUCUGUGGCAAGGGUUAACAAAACAGCAAAGAGUGAAAAAUAACUGCCCAAGGACGAUGAACAGCGAAUUAGGGACAAAUGCCCGGAGAUGUCUUUAUUUAACGUGUACAUAGGUGUUUGCUUGUGUGGGUUAAUAUGCCCCACGUGUGCGGAGCUUUAACACGCACGGGGAGGCUACCGAUCGAGCUUGCGGCGGGCGCAGAAGCAGCUUUAGGAAGGCGGGGACAGCCCGCGCCGUUCGGUCCCUAAGUGACCAGGUGAAGGCGGGGGAGUCACGGUGACAGUCACACAGAGCUUCCAGGUUUGGGGAAGCGGCGCGGACUCUCCGCGGCCACCAGUGUCUUUCAUUCCCUCCCAGCGACGCCGCCCGACUCGGAACCAGUCACUCCACCGACCGGCGAAGCUCGUCCUCCGGACAACGCGAACUAGACAAGCAGGUCCGACCUUCGGCCACUGUCCCGACAGCCGGCUCUUCAGGUGCCUCCGGCCGCGGACCCGCCCCUCGAGCUUCCGUUUUGGGUGUGUAACACACCACACCAGGACAGUCUCAGAAGAAGACCAACACCUCUACAAAAAAAUAUAGACACCAGCAGCAGCUUCAGAUCGCUUUGAACCUUUUCUCCUCUUUGUGUCUUGUGAGGUCUGAACCACUAGGAAUAUUCAGUGACCGCACUGUACUGGGGUCAUUUCAAAGGAUUCCCUUCUCUGCCACUAUGCCACCAAGCUAAUGAAGCUUUAUUUAUCAACCAAUCAGAGCAACACAUACUCACAGCGUACAGAAAGACAUCCCACAGCAGAAUCCUCAGGAUGAAUGGAAGGUGAGAUUCUAUCUCCAUGAAUCCUCUGACUGAAAGCCUGAGUCCUCAGCCAAAAGGGUCUAGUUCCUGUCUCCUCAUGCCUUAUAAGCCUUUCUCCACCCACUCAUUUUACUUCCUUCCUAGUGCUGGGAUUAAUGAUGUGUGUGCUUCCCAAAUACUGGUAGCAAAGGCAUGAGAUCUCAAAUGCUGGGAUUAAAGGCGUGUGACUCCCAAGUACUGGGAUUAAAGGUGCGUGCCACCACUGCCUGGCUCUGUUUCUCUCCUAGACUGAAUCAAUCUCAUGUAAUCCAGGGUGGCUUUGAACUCACAGAGAUCCAGACGGAUCUCUGCCUCCUGAGUGCUAGGAUUAAAGGUGUGUGCCACCACUGCCUGGCCUCUAUGUUUAAUCUAAUGGCUGGCUCUGUCCUCAGAUCCUCAGGCAAGCUUUAUUUGAUACAUAAUAUAUCACCACUGUGUGUGUGUGUGUGUGUGUGUGUGUGUGUGUGUGUGUGUGUGUCCACACGCGUGAAUAUACACAGGAAACAAUUGUUUUGAAAUAUUGAUUAUCAAGUGCCAUGGAACUAAAAUGAGCAGCCACCUCUGAGAGAGAGCAAGUGCAAGAGAGACCUAGGAAUACACCACAUUACUGUGACUCGGGGUUAGACAGACUCCCUGGUAGCAGACAGAUAGGGAGGGCCAUGGCUACGCAAUAAAGGUAGUGAACUUUAGCCAGCUUCUUCUUCCUCCUGACUUGAGACAAAAGCCUGGCAGUGUAAACAAAGGCCUUUGGGUCUUGUCUUCUGCCAGCAGGCCCCCACUGCUGGAUUGGCUUAACAGGUUCAAGGCAGGAUCAGGACAUGUUACUCAACAGUUGUGGGCCAAUCAACCAUCCUGUCUUUUUUCAGACUGACCCAACUCUAACUUACAGGAGAAAAACUCUUCAGAGACUUAAGAAAUCCUAGCCCUCAAGAGGAGACUGGAACUUUUGGCUUCCUGAGCUCCGCUCCCCCUCUGCUUAGCAGAAUCACUUUCUCUGUGUUUGCUGCAUGUCUGUGGUGGGUGAGAUUUCUCUGCUGUUACCACUUGAACUCAAGAUUGUUCCUGCCUUUUAAAAUUCUUUAAUUGGCAGAGAGAACUAGACCAAUCAAGACCCCCAGACUGUAUAUAUCAUAUAUCAUUACCACUUGUGGAGAGCUUCCAGACUACAGCCCAGAACAGAUUUAUUCUCGGCUCAGACGUCUCUGGAAGUGGGAGAGGUGAAGUUGGAAUGCCAAGGACGCUAGGCAGCUGGCCACAUGGGUUAUAGGGAGAUGAGAGAUGAAGAGAUUUCUACAGUCCUGGUUGAAUCUCAUCCAGGUAACUGCAGGUCUGCAGACUGGUGCAUGGGAGGGCAGGAACAGGCUGGGGAAAGAACUCUUCAAAAGGAGCCAGCGAAGGAACCCAGGGGAUGUGAGAAGAAAACGGGAUCAGGACGUCUCAACAGGUGGACAACCUUUUGUUAAAUGACGCCUAAUCUAAAAUUAGGAACCAUUUCGAAUGGAUUAACGUUACAAAGACACAAUUAAUUCCAGAGCAUGUGUUUUCACAGGUCUGGUUUCUUCCUACUUCGGGCGCAGUAAUCUUUGGUUCUAAAUCCCUUUACUUCAUACUUCGUGGCUCAUCUACCAACAUGUCUCCGCUAUUGGGAAGAACACCUCUUUUUCGUCGCUGGCACAGCUCUCCCUUGCCCCACCAGCGCCCCCCUCUGUCUCUGGGCCCAAGUUUACCCGAGCUAGACCCCUGCGGAUCCUAGCUCUGUGUGCCAAGCUCCAGAGACCGGCUC